GAGGAGAGGUAUCUGGUGGAUGUGGAGGAGAGGUAUCUGGUGGAUGUUGAGGAGAGGAGAGGUAUCUGCUGGAUGUGGAGGAGAGGAUGUAUCUGAUGGAUGUGGAGGAGAGUUAUUUGGUGGAUGUGGUAUAGAAGAGAGGUAUCUGGUGGAUGUGGAGGAGAGGAGGUAUCUGGUGGAUGUGAAGGAGAGGAGAGGUAUCUGGUGGAUGUGGAGGAGAGGAGAGGUAUCUGGUGGAUGUGG
Long non-coding RNA from Oncorhynchus gorbuscha (pink salmon), 243 nucleotides. RefSeq lists it as uncharacterized. Lineage: Eukaryota; Metazoa; Chordata; Actinopteri; Salmoniformes; Salmonidae. The record is from RefSeq and is a predicted model, not a curated record. The transcript has 3 exons.